CCACGGGCAAGUGGUGAUUUGAGUCCAGAUUGCGGGCCACGUAAAACAUAUUCCGCUAAAAGGUCAGGAGAAAGCCCCC
Molecule: regulatory RNA element, 79 nt
Organism: Rhodobacteraceae bacterium SB2
Lineage: Bacteria; Pseudomonadati; Pseudomonadota; Alphaproteobacteria; Rhodobacterales; Paracoccaceae
Rfam family: Alpha-proteobacteria SAM riboswitch aptamer
About the family: This family is a riboswitch found predominantly in alpha-proteobacteria that binds S-adenosyl methionine (SAM). This SAM riboswitch is located upstream of the metA and metC genes in Agrobacterium tumefaciens, and other methionine and SAM biosynthesis genes in other alpha-proteobacteria.
Source: Rfam